GAUAAGAGCUACAAAGGAGACGUAAGGACCAUGAGCUUGUCUUACAGGAGGGGUGUGUGUGAAGGGAGAUAAUUUCUUGGAGAAGAUGACAUCUGGGCUGAGUUCUCAAAGAUGAAUAUGCAUUAGCCAGGCUAAAUGGAGGUGCAGAGUGGUGCAUCCUGAAGGAAGAGCCUUUGCGAGGACUGAGGCAGAACGAAUGUAGAAAAGGCAAGAAGAGAAGAAAGUACUCAUGGCAGAGGGGAGAGCAGAGGCAAGAUGGAAUGCAGCCUAUUAGAGGAAAUGUGACUGGAGCAUGUGGUGCAAGUGGAGAGGUGAGAUGUGAAGGUGGAACAAAGAUGCCAGGUCCCAUAAGCCAUCAUAAAGGCAGUGUAGAGCCAUUGAAGGAUUUUAGGAUGGAGAGUGGUAGCUUCAGAAUUUGUAUGUUAGUUAGAUCCAGUUCUUGGAGAAUGGAUUGGAGGAGAAAAGUGGAGGUUAGGGGACCGAGAGAGAGAUGUUU
Molecule: long non-coding RNA, 496 nt
Filed under: Equus asinus (donkey)
Lineage: Eukaryota; Metazoa; Chordata; Mammalia; Perissodactyla; Equidae
Description: lncRNA (ENSEASG00005029836.1)
Source: RNAcentral